This 1245-nucleotide ribosomal RNA is filed under the name Lactiplantibacillus plantarum. RNAcentral describes it as "bacterial SSU rRNA". It matches the Rfam family "Bacterial small subunit ribosomal RNA", at positions 154 to 1383 of the family's 1533-position model. The record is from RNAcentral. Lineage: Bacteria; Bacillati; Bacillota; Bacilli; Lactobacillales; Lactobacillaceae.
AAACAGAUGCUAAUACCGCAUAACAACUUGGACCGCAUGGUCCGAGCUUGAAAGAUGGCUUCNGCUAUCACUUUUGGAUGGUCCCGCGGCGUAUUAGCUAGAUGGUGGGGUAACGGCUCACCAUGGCAAUGAUACGUAGCCGACCUGAGAGGGUAAUCGGCCACAUUGGGACUGAGACACGGCCCAAACUCCUACGGGAGGCAGCAGUAGGGAAUCUUCCACAAUGGACGAAAGUCUGAUGGAGCAACGCCGCGUGAGUGAAGAAGGGUUUCGGCUCGUAAAACUCUGUUGUUAAAGAAGAACAUAUCUGAGAGUAACUGUUCAGGUAUUGACGGUAUUUAACCAGAAAGCCACGGCUAACUACGUGCCAGCAGCCGCGGUAAUACGUAGGUGGCAAGCGUUGUCCGGAUUUAUUGGGCGUAAAGCGAGCGCAGGCGGUUUUUUAAGUCUGAUGUGAAAGCCUUCGGCUCAACCGAAGAAGUGCAUCGGAAACUGGGAAACUUGAGUGCAGAAGAGGACAGUGGAACUCCAUGUGUAGCGGUGAAAUGCGUAGAUAUAUGGAAGAACACCAGUGGCGAAGGCGGCUGUCUGGUCUGUAACUGACGCUGAGGCUCGAAAGUAUGGGUAGCAAACAGGAUUAGAUACCCUGGUAGUCCAUACCGUAAACGAUGAAUGCUAAGUGUUGGAGGGUUUCCGCCCUUCAGUGCUGCAGCUAACGCAUUAAGCAUUCCGCCUGGGGAGUACGGCCGCAAGGCUGAAACUCAAAGGAAUUGACGGGGGCCCGCACAAGCGGUGGAGCAUGUGGUUUAAUUCGAAGCUACGCGAAGAACCUUACCAGGUCUUGACAUACUAUGCAAAUCUAAGAGAUUAGACGUUCCCUUCGGGGACAUGGAUACAGGUGGUGCAUGGUUGUCGUCAGCUCGUGUCGUGAGAUGUUGGGUUAAGUCCCGCAACGAGCGCAACCCUUAUUAUCAGUUGCCAGCAUUAAGUUGGGCACUCUGGUGAGACUGCCGGUGACAAACCGGAGGAAGGUGGGGAUGACGUCAAAUCAUCAUGCCCCUUAUGACCNGGGCUACACACGUGCUACAAUGGAUGGUACAACGAGUUGCGAACUCGCGAGAGUAAGCUAAUCUCUUAAAGCCAUUCUCAGUUCGGAUUGUAGGNUGCAACUCGCCUACAUGAAGUCGGAAUCGCUAGUAAUCCGCGGAUCAGCAUUGCCGCGGUGAAUACGUUCCCGGGCUCUUG